UGAAGACGGGUUGUAUACUGGAGUGGAGAU
RNAcentral lists this non-coding RNA (30 nucleotides) under Homo sapiens (human). The record is from RNAcentral. Lineage: Eukaryota; Metazoa; Chordata; Mammalia; Primates; Hominidae.